Molecule: transfer RNA, 57 nt
Filed under: Callosciurus caniceps concolor
Lineage: Eukaryota; Metazoa; Chordata; Mammalia; Rodentia; Sciuridae
Description: partial tRNA-Ile
Source: RNAcentral
GACAAAAGAGUUACUNUGAUAGAGUAAAUAAUANAGGUUUAAACCCUCUUAUUUCUA